Long non-coding RNA from Polyodon spathula (Mississippi paddlefish), 266 nucleotides. RefSeq lists it as uncharacterized. The transcript is spliced from 3 exons. NCBI's taxonomy places the organism in Eukaryota, Metazoa, Chordata, Actinopteri, Acipenseriformes, Polyodontidae. The record is from RefSeq and is a predicted model, not a curated record.
CAGGCUUCUAUGGCCUUCUCUGCUGUAUUUGCUUGAUUGUAAUGUUACUGUCCCAUGUCUUUUUUCAUAUUCACAGAGGUACACUAAAAAUCCUGGAGAGGGAUUGAGAAGCCAGGUGCAAUGGUCGUGAUGUGGGACUCUCACUUUCACAGGAGCAGAGCGAGGUGUCUGUUUCACCUGCAGGUAGACUGUACUCACUCAGGCACUUCUGGAACCUCUCCGACCUCUUCAAGACCAAAUAAGUGAAGCCGAAGACGAUGAUAAUC